UGGAGCAGCUCGGUAGCUCGUCGGGCUCAUAACCCGAAGGUCGCAGGUUCAAAUCCUGCUCCCGCAACCA
This 70-nucleotide transfer RNA is filed under the name Brevibacillus agri BAB-2500. RNAcentral describes it as "tRNA-Met". It matches the Rfam family "tRNA". Rfam says of the family: Transfer RNA (tRNA) molecules are approximately 80 nucleotides in length. The record is from RNAcentral. Lineage: Bacteria; Bacillati; Bacillota; Bacilli; Caryophanales; Paenibacillaceae.